GUGUCAGCAGCCGCGGUAAUACGUAGGGUGCAAGCGUUAAUCGGAAUUACUGGGCGUAAAGCGUGCGCAGGCGGUUGUGUAAGUCAGAUGUGAAAUCCCCGGGCUCAACCUGGGAAUUGCAUUUGAGACUGCACGGCUAGAGUGUGUCAGAGGGGGGUAGAAUUCCACGUGUAGCAGUGAAAUGCGUAGAUAUGUGGAGGAAUACCGAUGGCGAAGGCAGCCCCCUGGGAUAACACUGACGCUCAUGCACGAAAGCGUGGGGAGCAAACAGGAUUAGAUACCCCGGUAGUCC
RNAcentral lists this ribosomal RNA (292 nucleotides) under uncultured Herbaspirillum sp. RNAcentral's name for it is "partial 16S ribosomal RNA". It matches the Rfam family "Bacterial small subunit ribosomal RNA", at positions 505 to 796 of the family's 1533-position model. The record is from RNAcentral. Lineage: Bacteria; Pseudomonadati; Pseudomonadota; Betaproteobacteria; Burkholderiales; Oxalobacteraceae.